Molecule: ribosomal RNA, 253 nt
Filed under: uncultured bacterium
Lineage: Bacteria
Description: partial 16S ribosomal RNA
Rfam family: Bacterial small subunit ribosomal RNA
Source: RNAcentral
UACGAAAGGGGCUAGCGUUGUUCGGGAUUACUGGGCGUAAAGCGCGCGUCGGCGGCCUAGCAAGUUGGGGGUGAAAGCCCAGGGCUCAACCCUGGAAUUGCCUCCAAAACUGCUAAGCUCGAGGCCGAGAGAGGAGUGUGGAAUUCCUAGUGUAGAGGUGAAAUUCGUAGAUAUUAGGAAGAACACCGGUGGCGAAGGCGACACUCUGGCUCGGUACUGACGCUGAGGCGUGAAAGCUUCGGGAGCAAAUAGG